UACGCCCUGCGCUGCGCGUGCGGUUCCAGUCGACUGAGCCAACACCACGCGACUGGGAAUCUGACUUCCGCUGAGGCCGGCUUGCCCAGCAGCAUGAUGGGACGCUGCCCCUCACCGGAGAGGAUACCCACCUGUUGAGGUAGGGUUCAGCGUGGACGGGACCCACGGCAGAGGUGGGGCGUUU
Molecule: non-coding RNA, 184 nt
Filed under: Candidatus Omnitrophica bacterium CG11_big_fil_rev_8_21_14_0_20_63_9
Lineage: Bacteria; Pseudomonadati; Candidatus Omnitrophota
Description: 6S RNA
Rfam family: 6S / SsrS RNA
About the family: E. coli 6S RNA was the first non coding RNA to be sequenced, but its function was unknown until recently. It consists of 184 nucleotides that fold into an extended hairpin structure with a large single-stranded internal bulge. The 6S RNA specifically associates with RNA polymerase holoenzyme containing the sigma70 specificity factor.
Source: RNAcentral